UGACGACCAUAGCAAGGUGGUCCCACUCCUUCCCAUCCCGAACAGGACCGUGAAACGCCUUUGCGCCGAUGAUAGUGGACGUACGUCUGUGAAAGUAGGUCAUCGUCAGGCU
RNAcentral lists this ribosomal RNA (112 nucleotides) under Pusillimonas sp. T7-7. Lineage: Bacteria; Pseudomonadati; Pseudomonadota; Betaproteobacteria; Burkholderiales; Alcaligenaceae. The record is from RNAcentral.